RNAcentral lists this unclassified non-coding RNA (202 nucleotides) under uncultured fungus. RNAcentral's name for it is "sequence contains ITS1". Lineage: Eukaryota; Fungi. The record is from RNAcentral.
UAUUUCAUUACGCCAUAUGGCAGACAAACAUCCAAUAUCUUAAACAAGAGUUUAUGAAUUUCGAAAGCAGUCUUUAACCUGCCUUCAAAUCUAAGUGCACAGGUGUAAAUUGGACUAGGAGAGCGAGCACAUAUAGUCAAAACUACCAGCAUCAACUCUCCAUAAUUCAUUAAUGAUCCUUCCGCAGGUUCACCUACGGAAA